GGUUCCAUAGAGUAGUGGAUAGCACAUCUGCCUUACAUGCAGAAGGUCCUGGGUUCAAGACCCAGAGGAGCCA
This 73-nucleotide transfer RNA is filed under the name Pteropus alecto (black flying fox). It matches the Rfam family "tRNA". From Rfam's summary of the family: Transfer RNA (tRNA) molecules are approximately 80 nucleotides in length. Their secondary structure includes four short double-helical elements and three loops (D, anti-codon, and T loops). Further hydrogen bonds mediate the characteristic L-shaped molecular structure. tRNAs have two regions of fundamental functional importance: the anti-codon, which is responsible for specific mRNA codon recognition, and the 3' end, to which the tRNAs corresponding amino acid is attached (by aminoacyl-tRNA synthetases). tRNAs cope with the degeneracy of the genetic code in two manners: having more than one tRNA (with a specific anti-codon) for a particular amino acid; and 'wobble' base-pairing, i.e. permitting non-standard base-pairing at the 3rd anti-codon position. Lineage: Eukaryota; Metazoa; Chordata; Mammalia; Chiroptera; Pteropodidae. The record is from Rfam by way of RNAcentral.